This 439-nucleotide ribosomal RNA is filed under the name uncultured bacterium. RNAcentral's name for it is "partial 16S ribosomal RNA". It matches the Rfam family "Bacterial small subunit ribosomal RNA", at positions 338 to 795 of the family's 1533-position model. The record is from RNAcentral.
CCUACGGGUGGCAGCAGUGAGGAAUAUUGCACAAUGGGGGAAACCCUGAUGCAGCGACGCCGCGUGAGUGAAGAAGUAAUUCGUUACGUAAAGCUCUAUCAGCAGGGAAGAAAAUGACGGUACCUGAGUAAGAAGCCCCGGCUAACUACGUGCCAGCAGCCGCGGUAAUACGUAGGGGGCAAGCGUUAUCCGGAUUUACUGGGUGUAAAGGGAGCGUAGACGGUGCGCCAAGUCUGGAGUGAAAUGCCGCAGCUUAACUGCCGAACGGCUUUGGAAACUGGCGAACUGGGGUGCGGGAGGGGUAAGCGGAAUUCCUGUUGUAGCGGUGAAAUGCUUAGAUAUUAGGAGGACCACCGGUGGCGAAGGCGGCUACUGGACCGUAACUGACGUUGAGGCUCGAAAGCGUGGGGAGCAAACAGGAUUAGAUACCCCAGUAGUC